GUGCUCACUUCGGCAGCACAUGUACUAAAAUUGGAACGAUAUAGAGAAGAUUAGCAUGGCCCUUGUGCAAGGAUGAAACAAAUUUAUGAAGUGUUACAUAUUUUU
Pan troglodytes (chimpanzee) is the source of this 105-nucleotide small nuclear RNA. The record is from Ensembl. NCBI's taxonomy places the organism in Eukaryota, Metazoa, Chordata, Mammalia, Primates, Hominidae.